Molecule: ribosomal RNA, 384 nt
Filed under: uncultured prokaryote
Description: bacterial SSU rRNA
Rfam family: Archaeal small subunit ribosomal RNA
Source: RNAcentral
GCGAAAACUUUACAAUGCUGGCAACAGCGAUAAGGGAACCUCGAGUGCCAGGUUACAAAUCUGGCUGUCGAGAUGCCUAAAAAGCAUUUCAUAGCAAGGGCCGGGCAAGACCGGUGCCAGCCGCCGCGGUAACACCGGCGGCUCGAGUGGUAACCGUUAUUAUUGGGUCUAAAGGGUCUGUAGCCGGCCGGAUAAGUCUCUUGAGAAAUCUGGCAGCUUAACUGUCAGGCUUUCAGGAGAUACUGUCUGGCUCGAGGCCUGGAGAGGUGAGAGGUACUUCAGGGGUAGUGGUGAAAUCUUGUAAACCUUGAAGGACCACCAGUGGCGAAGGCGUCUCACCAGAACGGACCUGACGGCAAGGGACGAAAGCUAGGGGCACGAACC